This 102-nucleotide non-coding RNA is filed under the name Paramoeba aestuarina. Lineage: Eukaryota; Discosea; Flabellinia; Dactylopodida; Paramoebidae. The record is from RNAcentral.
GAGAAAGAAAGAGAGAAAGAAAAGAGAAAAGAGAAGAAAAAGAAGAGGAAGAGAACAAACCUUUCUCUUGUUUCCAUCGACCUCUCUUUCUUCUUCCCUUCU